AGUGAACGCUGGCGGUAGGCCUAACACAUGCAAGUCGAGCGGCAGCACAGUAAGAGCUUGCUCUUACGGGUGGCGAGUGGCGGACGGGUGAGGAAUACAUCGGAAUCUACUUUUUCGUGGGGGAUAACGUAGGGAAACUUACGCUAAUACCGCAUACGACCUACGGGUGAAAGCAGGGGAUCUUCGGACCUUGCGCGAUUGAAUGAGCCGAUGUCGGAUUAGCUAGUUGGCGGGGUAAAGGCCCACCAAGGCGACGAUCCGUAGCUGGUCUGAGAGGAUGAUCAGCCACACUGGAACUGAGACACGGUCCAGACUCCUACGGGAGGCAGCAGUGGGGAAUAUUGGGCAAUGGGCGCAAGCCUGAUCCAGCCAUACCGCGUGGGUGAAGAAGGCCUUCGGGUUGUAAAGCCCUUUUGUUGGGAAAGAAAAGCAGCAGGUUAAUACCCCGCUGUUCUGACGGUACCCAAAGAAUAAGCACCGGCUAACUUCGUG
RNAcentral lists this ribosomal RNA (492 nucleotides) under uncultured bacterium. RNAcentral describes it as "partial 16S ribosomal RNA". It matches the Rfam family "Bacterial small subunit ribosomal RNA", at positions 29 to 507 of the family's 1533-position model. The record is from RNAcentral.